Long non-coding RNA from Paramacrobiotus metropolitanus, 349 nucleotides. RefSeq lists it as uncharacterized. NCBI's taxonomy places the organism in Eukaryota, Metazoa, Tardigrada, Eutardigrada, Parachela, Macrobiotidae. The record is from RefSeq and is a predicted model, not a curated record. The transcript has 3 exons.
AAAAGGUUUGCGAGGAACAAACCGAAAUGCGAGACCUACAUUUCGAGACCUACGUUUCGUCUACACCCGGUAGAAAUUAAUAUCCUUUCUACGCUGCAGUACUACGACGCAUGUCCCGUUGCGCUUCCUCGGCUUCCUGCUGCGCCUGUGCAGUUUCCGCUCUGGCGCGGCGAAGUUGGUAGUUGGCUUUAUUCAGCUGGACGUGCUUUCCUUCCAAUGCGGCAGUGUGACGCUUUCAUCCUUCAUCUUGGUUUUCUCCGCUUCGGCUGCGGUGCUUAAAUUGAAGAUUUUGGCAUGGAAGGCUUCUGUGUUCCGAAUAAAUGUCUUAAGCUCGUCGGUUAAUUCUAAA